Molecule: long non-coding RNA, 1287 nt
Organism: Myotis lucifugus (little brown bat)
Lineage: Eukaryota; Metazoa; Chordata; Mammalia; Chiroptera; Vespertilionidae
Exons: 2
Source: RefSeq, a predicted model, not a curated record
UUUGAUGCUGACGUGCAAGGAAUUUCUUGCGAUGCUGCCAUUUCUGCUCAGAAGCGAUCUUCCAACAGGCGAGCCCUGUGCCAAGCAUCUGGACCCUGUUGCUGACUUUCCACUCUCACCCCAGGCGGGAUGUCAGCACCCAUCCCCUUGCCGUCUCCCUCUCGGGUCGAGGUGGAGUUUUCCGGGCCGGGCUCCGGGGCCCAGAGCUUUGCAGAGCAGCAUGAAGUGUGGGUGCUCUGGCAAUCUCCCCGUCCCUUCCAUCUUCAGUGCCAUUGUAGCUUCCCCAGGUCCCAGGCCACUGCCUCUAGGUCCCCCGGCCCCCAGCACCACUCUCCCCUGGGCGUUGUAGCCGCUGUCACUGACGCCUGGCUCUGUUCUGGCCCUUGUACCACAGGACAGCCCUCAGGCCUGUUGAACUUGCUCCUACGAGGCCAGGCGGGGGCUCAGGGUGACGCCCAGGCGAGGUGGUGGCCUCACAGGCUAACACGCAGUGAGGACUGGGAGCUGCUGGGAAAGAAACAGCUGUAGGUGCCUUGCUCUUCCUGCCCACGUGGCUGGGGGCAGUUCUGGCUUCACGGCCUCGCCUGCUUGAACUGAAGCCAAUGUCCGCUCCCCGCUCAGUCCUGUCCCGGGACCCCAGGGGCGGGAGCAGCAGCACAUCCAGGGCCUGGGCCGCGCUGGGGCCUCUCCCACAGACUCCGCCUCUCCCACUACCAAACGCUCACGCGGGGAGGUGGCCUGUAGCUCGUACACGGAGCACCUCUCUCCCGUGAGGAGGGGGCCCUGUCAGCCCUUCGCUUACAGGCUCCGCAGGCUCAGUCUGGGGAGAGGUGGCGGGCGUGGGAUCUCCCUCGCAGACGGGCUCAGAGGUUUACACGUUUUCUAAGCUUUUGAUAAUGUGAAGCUCCAGGUUAAGAGACGCUGUUGAGCGCAUUGCAGAAACACAAAACAAGCAAAAAAGAAGCCAAAGCAUGAUGCGUCUUGUCUGCCGCCAGCGGCUCCUCACUGAGCUGUGCCAUUUCCACCCGGCGGGCAGCAGCCGCGGGGAAGCAGGGAGCCGGCCCGGCCGCGGCACUGGGGCCCAGCCGCGUCCUGUGUGAGGAACAUCCAGUGGCUGGGGGCCGUGCCUCAGUGCGCCAUUCGUGUGGAGAUGUGAAUGCCUGCUGCUUAAGAUCUGUAUAAAGUGCUGUGUGAUUAAACCUUUUUUUUUUACUUGCAUUUUUUUUUGGUUUGGCUCAUUACAAUGUACAAAAAGAAGGUGGCACCAUUAAACCUGCCUCUGCCAUG